Crotalus tigris (Tiger rattlesnake) is the source of this 133-nucleotide small nuclear RNA. RefSeq annotates it as U4 spliceosomal RNA. NCBI's taxonomy places the organism in Eukaryota, Metazoa, Chordata, Lepidosauria, Squamata, Viperidae. The record is from RefSeq and is a predicted model, not a curated record. The transcript has a single exon.
AAACAACCACAGUGGCAGUAUCGUAACCAAUGAGGUUUAUCCAAGGCGCGAUUAUUGCUAAUUGAAAACUUUUCCCAAUACCCCACCAUGACGACUUGAAAUAAAUUUGAUUAAUUAUGACAAACUGUUUAGU